Molecule: non-coding RNA, 125 nt
Organism: Gossypium hirsutum (cotton)
Lineage: Eukaryota; Viridiplantae; Streptophyta; Magnoliopsida; Malvales; Malvaceae
Source: Rfam
AAUAUGAGCAUGAUAAAUCAGAUUUUUUUCUCUUGAUUUUCAACUUUUUUUUUCUUGAAGAAAUUCAAAUACAACUAAAUAUGCUAAAAAUCGGGAGAAAAAAUCUGAUUUGUCAUGUUCCUAUU